UACAGAGGUCCCAAGCGUUGUUCGGAUUCACUGGGCGUAAAGGGUGCGUAGGUGGUGAGGUAAGUCGGAUGUAAAAGCUCGGAGCUCAACUCCGAAAUGGCAUUGGAAACUACCUUGCUCGGGGGUUGGAGGGGGGACUGGAAUACUUGGUGUAGCAGUGAAAUGCGUAGAUAUCAAGUGGAACACCAGUGGCGAAGGCGAGUCCCUGGACAACUCCUGACACUGAGGCACGAAAGCUAGGGGAGCAAACAGG
RNAcentral lists this ribosomal RNA (253 nucleotides) under uncultured bacterium. RNAcentral's name for it is "partial 16S ribosomal RNA". It matches the Rfam family "Bacterial small subunit ribosomal RNA", at positions 524 to 776 of the family's 1533-position model. The record is from RNAcentral.